This is a non-coding RNA of Bemisia tabaci, 1040 nucleotides long. Lineage: Eukaryota; Metazoa; Arthropoda; Insecta; Hemiptera; Aleyrodidae. The record is from RefSeq and is a predicted model, not a curated record.
UCUGUCCCAACAGCAACUCUCUGGGUACCUUGAUUAUUAACCGAGAUAUCUCGCCUUGACAAACUUGACUUAUGGCGUCAUCCUCUGCGGAAGUGCAUAACAUGAUAUUUCCUACCAUGGUGGAUGACUUUAUAAGUCAAGUUUUUAAAGGCGAGAUACCUCGGUUAAUAUUCAACAUAGAAAUUUGCUGUUUGGCCAGAUCUUAAAAUUUUUAGUUGAUCUGCAAGAAUAAAGUAUCUUUACACGAUUCUGAGACCAGCAAGACUGCCCCAUCCUUCCACUUUUAUGUUCUAUGUUAUAUUUCCAUUGUUUCAACCCUAAAUUUUUCACAAUUACCUGUUUACUCUGCUCUCAAGAGGUGUCGUCAGCUAAGUUGGCACUUGUUUACAUUCCACUUGCAUGCAAUAGAUGAUAUUAGUAGUGAAGUCAUCAUAGGGAUUCUCCAUUGUAUCGAAUUGGAUCCAUACAAUAACAUUGGCGUAACCUCUUUCAAUGCUACUAUAAUGCGAAUAAAGCGAUAUGUAUAACGCUUUUUUGUGACGUGCCACUAAUAGCGUCUAUUGAGAUGCAAUUGUCCAACAGCUAUAGGGGAUUGACGGCAGCCUGAUCGUGAGCUUAGUCAAUCCUUGAUUUCUGUUGGACUACUACAUUGUAGUUGCUUGCGAAUGCUAUGUAUUCAAGUGCCAACUUAGCUGACGACACCUCUACCUCAAGUUAGCAGUAUUACUUCUGAUAGUUUUACACAAGUUUGUCCUUUCUCUUGAAGGCAUAAAGUUAUUUGACCAAUUUUAUCUACUCUCCGCCGUCAACCUUCUCUGGUAUUGACUUGUGCAACACUCAAGAAUAUUUAUUUUCGGUUCACAGUGUACUCUCCGUUUUUAAUUGAUCAGAAUGGAUUUAAAAACAUAUCAAAAUGGCGGCAGAGCCACUGGAUAUCUUUGAGCAUGAGUUGCUCUUCAAAGCAACGGAUAUCUCUGAGCAUGAGUUGCUCUUCAAAGCAACCAAUUUAUCCAAACUGGCCUUCAUAGAUUUGUCUCAGG